UACGAAGGGGGCGAGCGUUGUUCGGAAUUACUGGGCGUAAAGGGUGCGUAGGCGGGUCUUUAAGUCAGGGGUGAAAUCCUGGAGCUCAACUCCAGAACUGCCUUUGAUACUGAGGAUCUUGAGUUCGGGAGAGGUGAGUGGAACUGCGAGUGUAGAGGUGAAAUUCGUAGAUAUUCGCAAGAACACCAGUGGCGAAGGCGGCUCACUGGCCCGAUACUGACGCUGAGGCACGAAAGCGUGGGGAGCAAACAGG
This 253-nucleotide ribosomal RNA is filed under the name uncultured bacterium. Its description in RNAcentral is "partial 16S ribosomal RNA". It matches the Rfam family "Bacterial small subunit ribosomal RNA", at positions 524 to 776 of the family's 1533-position model. The record is from RNAcentral.